Molecule: ribosomal RNA, 253 nt
Filed under: uncultured Eubacteriales bacterium
Lineage: Bacteria; Bacillati; Bacillota; Clostridia; Eubacteriales
Description: uncultured Clostridiales bacterium partial 16S ribosomal RNA
Rfam family: Bacterial small subunit ribosomal RNA
Source: RNAcentral
UACGGAGGAUGCGAGCGUUAUCCGGAUUUAUUGGGUUUAAAGGGUGCGUAGGCGGACUGUUAAGUCAGCGGUAAAAGCCCGGGGCCCAACCCCGGGACUGCCCUUGGAACUGCAUGGCUGGAGUGCGGGAGGGGCAGGCGGAAUUCCUGGUGUAGCGGUGAAAUGCGUAGAUAUCAGGAGGAACACCGGCGGCGAAGGCGGCCUGCUGGACCGCGACUGACGUUGAGGCUCGAAAGCGUGGGGAGCGAACAGG